This 177-nucleotide ribosomal RNA is filed under the name uncultured bacterium. RNAcentral describes it as "partial 16S ribosomal RNA". It matches the Rfam family "Bacterial small subunit ribosomal RNA", at positions 1324 to 1500 of the family's 1533-position model. The record is from RNAcentral.
AGCUGGAAUCGCUAGUAAUCGCGGAUCAGAAUGCCGCGGUGAAUACGUUCCCGGGUCUUGUACACACCGCCCGUCACACCAUGAGAGCCGGGGGGACCCGAAGUCCGUAGCUUAACCGCAAGGAGGGCGCGGCCGAAGGUAAAACUGGUGAUUGGGGUGAAGUCGUAACAAGGUACC